This 252-nucleotide long non-coding RNA is filed under the name Elaeis guineensis (African oil palm). Its description in RNAcentral is "long non-coding RNA (EGUI_LNC061116)". The record is from RNAcentral. Lineage: Eukaryota; Viridiplantae; Streptophyta; Magnoliopsida; Arecales; Arecaceae.
AAGGGAUCCAGAUGGAUGAUAAUAUAAGAAUUAGAAGAAAAGUUGUCCAUACUUAAUGUAUAUUGAAGGACAAAGAUGAGUAUGAUUACUAGUUUUAUUUUGAUGGAUGAUGAGAUAAACAAACAUCUCACAUAAUUGGAGGAAAAAAUGAUCCAACUCAUCAAGAUCGUCUCCCGACUAGAGAUGCCUUUAACACAAGCACCAGCAACUCUUAUAGUGAAGUUGUCUUCUAUAUUUAAAGACGAGAAUCUA